This 398-nucleotide unclassified non-coding RNA is filed under the name uncultured fungus. Its description in RNAcentral is "partial contains small subunit ribosomal RNA, internal transcribed spacer 1, and 5.8S ribosomal RNA". The stretch from base 1 to 73 matches the Rfam family "Eukaryotic small subunit ribosomal RNA", at positions 1759 to 1831 of the family's 1831-position model. The record is from RNAcentral. Lineage: Eukaryota; Fungi.
CCAAACUUGGUCAUUUAGAGGAAGUAAAAGUCGUAACAAGGUUUCCGUAGGUGAACCUGCGGAAGGAUCAUUAUUGGAAAUAUAAAACUUUUUCAAGUCAAUGGAAGGGGAAGGGGAAAGAAAUUUUCUUUUCUUCUUCUGGCUUGCAAACAACUUUGAUACCCAAAAAGAGUUUCAUCUUCUUCAUCUUCAGCUUUAUUGGCUUAGGUUGAUUGGUUGGUUGGAGGGAAGAAAAAAGGAGGAAGGGUGAUUGGGGGGAAACCUCAGUUCCCUGAAUCCCAAUAACAACAUAUAUGGUUGCCUGAUAAAAAAAGAGUUUGGUUUCUGGAAAUGGAAAAGAAAAUGAAACAACUUUCAACAACGGAUCUCUUGGCUCUCACAUCGAUGAAGAACGCAGC